AUGGCCGACGCGGGUCAGAGUGUAGUAUCUGUUCUUAUCAGCUUAAUAUCUGAUACGGGUUGUAUUUGGACCCAAGAUAUUAAACUUAUUUUUGCAAGUUGGUGGAGUGCUUUAAAUCCUGAUUCACCCCCAAGCGGGUCGGCCCUGGUAUUGCACUAUCUUCGGGGUUUUUGGUCUACGGACA
This is a small nuclear RNA of Dermacentor silvarum, 184 nucleotides long. RefSeq annotates it as U2 spliceosomal RNA. The record is from RefSeq and is a predicted model, not a curated record. The transcript has a single exon. NCBI's taxonomy places the organism in Eukaryota, Metazoa, Arthropoda, Arachnida, Ixodida, Ixodidae.